GAUGUCAGCUGAGCUCUGGCUAUUAAGUUACUAUUGCUUUAAAUACUCCUUUAAACCCAUGACCCAUCUAGCAGCUCUCAGAUGGCAUAUAAAAUGAGAGGAAAAGAGCACCUGAUCGGGCUGACAUCAAGAGAUCACAAGUGUUUGCAGGUUUUCCAGAGUGUUUAGGAAUAAAAGAGCAGUGAGUCAAAGUGUGUGGAAGAAGGAGCAGGAGCAGAGGAAAAGGUGUUGGUCCCAGCGGGUGGGAAAGAAUUAACAGUGCGGAGAGUAGGGGGGAGGAAGGUCAGUUUUGUUUGCACGAAACCUGCCUUUGUGGCCUGGGAUAUGACUGUAAAAUGUUUAACCGGGGGUCAAAUAUGGGCUUUGGACAAAGGUAGAAGGGGGCAGCCGGUGAACAUUGGAAGUGUUUUAAUCUGAAAUAGCCUCUCAAGGUGGAAGGCAGGAGGAGGUGAAUACGAGGCAAAGGGAAGUGGGUCUUGGGAGAAACCUGGUCAGCAGGGCAUCCCUCAGGUCGGGGGCAGGGCCUCCGGGUGUUUCAGGUCUCACUCAUUCCAUACACACUGGAACAGUUCCCUGCCACUGCUCUGCAAAUGCUGAUAACAGCUCCACAGAGAAUUCUCUGCCCUGACAAAAAAGGUGAGCUUCCAGAAACCUGGGACCUCAGUGAACUUGCAAGACGCCUCUAAUAAAGGAAAACAACUGAGGAAAACUGUUGAAGUGAUGAAGAAGGAGGUUACCUUCUAGGACUCCCCCGGUGCUGUCUUUCUGCGGAGCCCCCUUCUUCUCAGCCUCUAACCAGCCACCCGGGGAGCUGAGUCCUUCCCCCCGGCGCCCAGGCUGCUGCGCGGAGCUCAGACACACGUCCAUAGCCGGCUGUCCCAAAGACAGCUGUGCAUUGAAAAGCAAUCUACAAAAGAACGACUAUAAUCUACUGACUGACUGUUACUAGUUCAGCACAUCUAUGAUCUACAUCGCAUGUUCGUAAUUAAUACAGAAUUGGAAAUGACUCCUUGUUAGUAUGCCCAAAAUAAUUUUGAAUUGUUACACGUAUCUUUACCUUAUGCAGCAGAAGAGAUGUGAGGCUUCUGUGCACUCUUUAAUCCCCAGUGUUUUAUAUAGGUCUACACCUGAAAGGAUUAGCAUUUGAUGAACAAAAUCCAGCCAGUGGAAGCCCAAGUUAUUUAGGGUAGCAUUAUCUACCAGUCCUCAUAGACACAUUACUUUGCUAGAAUUCUCUCUCUUUCUCUCUCUCUCUCUCUCUCUCUCUCUCACACACACACACACACACACACACACACGCACAGUCCUAGCAACAUUCAAUGGAAUUCCCUUCAAAAGUUUCAGGAAUAUCACUGGAACAGAACAGAGGCUGCCCCUGUGGCAUCCAGUUGCUGCGAUGUGGUUCGAAACGUUAGACUUCCAGUUCACUUUUCAAAGAAGUGGGUGUUGGACAGUUGCACAGACUUGCAAAUUUUGUGCUCAUUUGCCAAACUCCAGUAGCCACAGGGAGGACAUGCCCACCCAGCCUCUGCCUAGGACCCGUAUCCAGGCAGCCAGAAAGAACACAAGGAUCUACCAAGAGGAAGGGAAUGCUUUGGGGAGGAAGAAAGGAGAGCAUCUAUCCAUGAGAAGGGACGGGAGUCAAAGGCUUAACGUUGAAUCUGGGGGAUUUAGAGCAGAGGGAAGAGGAAAUCAGAAAAACUCUUCCAAGAAAAAGUAAGCCAUUGUGAUUUAUUUAACUGAAAUAAGGGAUAGUCAAAAGGGAAGGAGAAAAAUCAUGUGCUCAUUUGUGAAGCUCAGAAACCCUUAAAAUAGAAUAUAGGUCACACAAAGUAAAGCCUCAGACAAAUGGGAAUUAAAGAAUCACUUGUGAUAGGCUACAUUCAACCAGGGAGUUGGAUGAAUGGUGUUUUAACCUGAGUAGAUAUAAAAGCCCAUUUUUGUUUUUGUACCCACCCUCGGUACUCGUUUCUCUGGUGUCACUAUUUUGUGUUCUUUAUGUCAGUUUCUUUUCACUCAGGAUGUUCAUCUAGAUGUGCUGUGGUCCCAUGUAAAUCACCUUUCCCACUUUCUUAAAUGACUGGGGAUAAGCCGGCAUUUGUUCCAGCUCUAUCGUUCUAAUGCUUUCUUAUUCCCCAAAUGCAUCUAGUUCUAUGAUUGCAUUCUGCAUCUCUGCAACUUAUUUCUUCCAGGUGUCAUCAGUCCCUAUGAGAAAUAGCAAAAAGAUAGUCAUCAGUACAAUUCUACAAAAACCUUUUAAAAACUGAUUGCAAUGUACGUGAAUAUAUGUGUGUAUAUUUAUAUGCAUGUAGACACACACAUAGACAAACAUAUGCGUUCAUUCUACAAGCUUUAAAAUGAAGCAAAGGACGAAGGAAAAAAUGUUGAUCUCCUUUAAUUCUACUAUCUAGAGAAAGAAACCUCACCAACUUUUUUUUUUGUAUCAACUUCUAGGCUUAUUUUUUUUGUAUAAACUUUUUUAAAGCUAUUUUACUGAAAAUGUGACUUGAUAGAAACAUGUACCUCUUUAACCUAGCAUCCUAUUAAGAGUUCCUUUUUAGGAUGAGUUCAUGUCCUUUGCAGGGACAUGGAUGAAGCUGGAAACCAUCAUUCUCAGCAAACUAACACAGGAACAGAAAACCAAACACCACAUGUUCUCACUCAUAAGUGGGAGUCGAACAAUGAGAACACAUGGACACAGGGAGGGGAACAUCACACACCUGGGCCUGUCAGGGGGUGGGGGACUUAGGGGACGGAGAGCAUUAGGAGAAAUACCUAAUGUAGAUGAUGGGUUGAUGGGUGCAACAAACCACCAUGGCACGUGUAUACCUAUGUAACAAACCUGCACAUUCUGCAUGUGUACCCCA
RNAcentral lists this long non-coding RNA (2867 nucleotides) under Homo sapiens (human). RNAcentral describes it as "HSALNT0206135". The record is from RNAcentral. Lineage: Eukaryota; Metazoa; Chordata; Mammalia; Primates; Hominidae.